GUACCGCUGGAGAGUUGGAAGAAGCAUUCAAUUUUAUUCAGUCCUUGCCACAACCAGUGGAUCCUGGAGUCUGGGGUGCACUACUGUCAUGUUGUGAGAUGUGUGGUAAUUCCACAAUGGCAGAAACUGCUGCGAGCUGCUGGAUUGUUUGCGGGGUCUAUCUUCCUGAUGCGGCAGUAUGGUGACCUUAUGGCUGUGUGAUGAUUAAUAGGAGUCACCAUGCCUUCGGAACCACAUCACGCCCUGGAUUUGAUAAGAUAGGAUGAAUUGAUGUUUAGCAGAAGCUCGUCCUGUUUUCUCCAUCUAAGUCACUUAGAAUGUUGUCAGAAUUUCUCCUUUCAGAGUUUUUGAAGCAAUAUUUGGAUACCGGCAAGACGGAUAUCUUCAUGCAUUAGCUGACGAUUUCUAUGGUUGUGUUUGAACAAUUUCUAGCUGCUGCAAGUACUAGCCCUUACUGGUAUCUUGUUUG
This is a long non-coding RNA of Eucalyptus grandis, 469 nucleotides long. RefSeq lists it as uncharacterized. The transcript has 2 exons. The record is from RefSeq and is a predicted model, not a curated record. Lineage: Eukaryota; Viridiplantae; Streptophyta; Magnoliopsida; Myrtales; Myrtaceae.